AUGAAUCACGAAGAUGGCUCUGAUGCUUGGGGUUCUCAAAGGCCAGAAACGCCCCCUUGGGAUGCAUCAGAGUACAGUCAACUCAUCUCUGCAGGGCCGUUGCUGCCACUACUAGAACAAGCGUUCAUGCAGCACGUGGCAUCAGGCAGCACCCAUGUACCUGCCAUCGACGUCAUACACAGGCCUACAACUACAGUGAACAGCGGCGCGGGGACAUCUACUGCGGGGAGCUCUGAGCGCACGGAAGACGCGUUCCACCAGCCAGCAGACAAUCAUGCCGCAAACAAUUUCGAGUCAGAGUCGGGAAUGGCAAUCAUUCCAGCAAUGCCGACAAGCACCCCUUUGAACACAAGCACUGCCAACACUCAAGUAGAUGGAACUGCCGCCGAUACUAAAGUGAAUGAUGAAACUGACGACGAUGCACAAGGGGAUGAAGAUGGUGGGCAAUCAAAGAUCAUGGUACCUCAGCCACCGUACAUUGGGCAGAGAUUUGAAUCGUUCGAAGAAGCAAAGGAAUACUACCGGACAUAUGCAAAGUUCCAUGGAUUUGCGGUCAACACCGAGUACCAUAGAAAAAUUAAGAAAACUAACGAGUACAACAGAGGUGAGAUGAGGUGCCACAAGGCACGGAGGAACAAGAAGGGGAAAGGUGUUGCGCCUGUCGUUCUGGAACGAAGGAGAGGUAUCAUUCUCAAGACAGAGUGUCCCGUCCGGUGUAAGCUAAACGUAGAUGGAGAACAGUGGGUGGUCAAUGAGUAUUUUGACGAGCACAACCACCAACUCAUAAAGAAGUUCGACCUGGUAAAAUUUCUGAUCGCCCACAGAGGGUUCACCCCCGUCGAAAGGCAAUUCGUAAAGCUGCUACAUGAUUGUAAUGUUGGUCCAUCAAGAAUGGUACAGAUACUAUCUCUCAUCCACAGCAAAAAGGGGAAACUGAGUAGCAUGCCGUACAUACCAGCUGACGUCACAAACCUAAAGGCCAAGUACCGUAGAGAGAGCCAGUUGACAGACAUAGAGGCCACAAUUGCCUACUUCGAUGAGAAAGCGAAGGAAGAUCCAGAUUUCUUCUACAGGAUAAGGCACUGCAGGUGGCACAUUAUAAAGAAGGCUGAGGAGACGCUAGGACCGUUCUUUGCUGACCGUCCAGAGCUGCACAAGGCAUUCGAGCUGUGCGUGGACCACAGCUUGACGAUGGAGGAGUUUGAAAGGAGCUGGAUGGCCAUGAUUGAAACACAUCAAGUACAAGACAACGAGACACUUGCUAACCUGUGGGAGAAGCGAAUGUAUUGGGUGCCGGCCUACUUCUUCCCAUUUCUGCAGACUACGCAGCGCAGCGAGGGGUUCAAUGCUGUUUUGAAGCGGUACGUCAGCCCUGGCAACUCAUUGCUACAAUUUGCCAAGCAGUACACAGCUUUGCAACAAAAAAUUCUGGGAUCUGAGCUACAGCAAGAAGCGACCACAACACUAAAGCAGCCAAAAUUGCUAACGUAUUUACCGAUGGAGAGGCAAAUGAGCAAGAUAUACACCAACAAGAUCUUUAACAAAUUCCAAGAAGAAAUAAAGCGUGCCAGCAUGUUCACGGCUUUCCAGGUGGACGAACAUACGUUCAAGGUGUGUUCUAUUUUGGGCAUGUCAGAUUCAGAACCUGAAGACCCGGACAAAGGAAGGAACUACUUCGUCAAAGCCUCGAUAGGCGAAGGCGAGUACUACUGCCAAUGUUGCAAGUUCGAACGGGACGGCAUUGUGUGCUGUCACAUACUAAAAGUAAUAGACAUGGACGCUGUGACACGGAUGCCCCGCCAUUUCAUAAGGCGGCGAUGUACUUGGGACGCUGACGACGCGUUGGCGCCACAGACAACACACGCAGUUCUGGCUGUGCAUGACGAGAGACCUGAGUCAACCAUGGAAGCCGUGAGGCACGUUGUGCUGACAAAGAACUAUGCUGAGCUAAUUGAUGAAGCAUGCAAGAGUGAUGAGACAGCGAGAGUCGCGGAAAAACACAGGAAGGCACUGAAAAGAGAUCUUGAUGAGAUCAAGAAGAGAAAAGCUGAGGAAGCCUUACACCGGUUCCCCCGCACAUCAAGUGUGCCUUCAUCCACGGGGCCAUCAUCCACGGGGCCACGCAGACCCAGGUCAGGGACCCACCCCGUUCCAUCACAAAGGGUCGUCCAAGAGAGAUAA
Molecule: ribosomal RNA, 2181 nt
Filed under: Triticum aestivum (bread wheat)
Lineage: Eukaryota; Viridiplantae; Streptophyta; Magnoliopsida; Poales; Poaceae
Description: partial small subunit ribosomal RNA
Source: RNAcentral